RNAcentral lists this transfer RNA (68 nucleotides) under Aythya ferina (common pochard). RNAcentral's name for it is "tRNA-Lys". Lineage: Eukaryota; Metazoa; Chordata; Aves; Anseriformes; Anatidae. The record is from RNAcentral.
CAUUAAGAAGCUAUGCAACAGCACUAGCCUUUUAAGCUAGCUAGAGAGGACCGCCUCCUCCUUAAUGG